RNAcentral lists this ribosomal RNA (253 nucleotides) under uncultured bacterium. RNAcentral's name for it is "partial 16S ribosomal RNA". It matches the Rfam family "Bacterial small subunit ribosomal RNA", at positions 524 to 776 of the family's 1533-position model. The record is from RNAcentral.
UACGAAGGGUGCAAGCGUUACUCGGAAUUGCUGGGCGUAAAGCGUGCGUAGGUGGUUCGUUAAGUCUGUCGUGAAAGCCCCGGGCUCAACCUGGGAAUGGCGAUGGAUACUGGCGGGCUAGAGUGCGGUAGAGGAGAGUGGAAUUCCCGGUGUAGCAGUGAAAUGCGCAGAUAUCGGGAAGAACACCUAUGGCGAAGGCAGCUCUCUGGGACGGUACUGACGCUGAGACGCGAAAGCGUGGGGAGCGAACAGG